RNAcentral lists this ribosomal RNA (679 nucleotides) under uncultured archaeon. Its description in RNAcentral is "bacterial SSU rRNA". It matches the Rfam family "Archaeal small subunit ribosomal RNA", at positions 156 to 837 of the family's 1478-position model. The record is from RNAcentral.
UAUAUGGAGAUGCCUGGAAUGGUUCUCCACUUAAAGCUCCGGCGCCUAAGGAUGGAUCUGCGGCAGAUUAGGUCGUUGGUGGGGUAAUGGCCCACCAAGCCUGUAAUCUGUACGGGUUGUGAGAGCAAGAGCCCGGAGAUGGAACCUGAGACAAGGUUCCAGGCCCUGCGGGGCGCAGCAGGCGCGAAACCUCCGCAAUGCGAGCAAUCGCGACGGGGGGACCCCAAGUGCUACUCUUAACGGGGUAGCUUUUCUAAAGUGUAAAAAGCUUUUGGAAUAAGGGCUGGGCGAGACCGGUGCCAGCCGCCGCGGUAACACCGGCAGCCCGAGUGGUGGCCAUUUUUAUUGGGCCUAAAGCGUUCGUAGCCGGCCUGAUAAGUCUCUGGUGAAAUCCCACAGCUUAACUGUGGGAAUUGCUGGAGAUACUAUCGGGCUUGAGGUCGGGAGAGGUUAGAGGUACUCCCAGGGUAGGGGUGAAAUCCUAUAAUCCUGGGAGGACCACCUGUGGCGAAGGCGUCCAGCUGGAACGGACCUGACGGCAAGGGACGAAAGCUAGGGGCACGAACCGGAUUAGAUACCCGGGUAGUCCUAGCCGUAAACGAUACUCGCUAGGUGUCGGCCACGGUGCGACCGUUGUCGGUGCCGUAGGGAAGCCGUGAAGCGAGCCACCUGGGAAGUA